GAUAAUUGGGCUCUAAAAUAUGCACACAUCGCCCGUCGCUCUCAUGAUAAAUGAGAUAAGUCGUAACAUAGUAGAUGUAUUGGAAAAUGUAUCUAGAAAGUCA
RNAcentral lists this ribosomal RNA (103 nucleotides) under Hetaerina rudis. Its description in RNAcentral is "partial small subunit ribosomal RNA". Lineage: Eukaryota; Metazoa; Arthropoda; Insecta; Odonata; Calopterygidae. The record is from RNAcentral.